AGCUCUGGAUUAAACGUCUGUUGGCCUAUCCCGCGAGGUAUAACACUAAUUGUCUGGUUUUAUGUCCGUUAAAAAGUUAAUCUGUCGCGGAGCUGUGGUGUAGCUGCAGACACACAAGAUCAUUGCUUCAUCUGCAUGUUACGUUACUCCGUAACACGAAGAGAUAACGCGAGCAGCAGAAUGGUUCAAAUCUCCUGGCGCUUCAAGGGAUCACACGGUUUAUUUCGGUUUAUUCAGCACGAAGAAUCCGCAAGGGAAGAAGCGUGUUCAUACGGGAGAUGUGACACAAGGGGCUGUCGCUGCAAAGGAGACACAAUGCGACAAGAAAAGACCCCAAAACACCAACG
Lethenteron reissneri (Far Eastern brook lamprey) is the source of this 347-nucleotide long non-coding RNA. RefSeq lists it as uncharacterized. NCBI's taxonomy places the organism in Eukaryota, Metazoa, Chordata, Hyperoartia, Petromyzontiformes, Petromyzontidae. The record is from RefSeq and is a predicted model, not a curated record.